Long non-coding RNA from Sus scrofa (pig), 482 nucleotides. RefSeq lists it as uncharacterized. The record is from RefSeq and is a predicted model, not a curated record. Lineage: Eukaryota; Metazoa; Chordata; Mammalia; Artiodactyla; Suidae.
UGUGGGAGUUCCGUCGUACGUGGCCCCAGGGGCGCCUGGGAAAUAUCCUGUGCGCGUCUCUAUUAUGAUCGAGUGUAAAUGAGGGCCGCCGGCAGGCUGGAAACUAGCUACUGCGGUCGCAGUUGCUCUCUGAAGCCGCAAGGUAGGGGCGAUCGGCUGCCGCUGCCAGGAGAGCGGACGAUGCGGAGAUCCCUGAGCAAUCAUCUAAGAAGUCUGAUCACCUGAAUAGACCACAUGGAGAGACUGUGGGAGCACAUGAAGAGAGGUGGGCAGGGGGAACCCAGCUGCAUCCAACAAUCCAGAAAUCCCUAACAAGAUGCUAGACAUGAAGGAAACCAUCUUGGAUCCACCAGAUCAACCUAGCCACCAGCUGGAUACCACUGAGAGAUGCCAGUGGAGCAGAAUUGUCCAAUAAGCCUUGCCCAAAUUUCUCACCCACACAAUUAUGAGUAUAAUAAAAUGAUUAUUGUUUUCAGCCCCAA